UUCAAGGCCAAUUUCUGGCUUCCUCUGACAUCGUCUCAGGCGAAGGGUAGCAUGGGUGAACUCAGGGUAUCAAGACGAACAAAGCCCAGCCAAGGAUCGGGCUUUUAAGUGACCGGAGGAGACGGAAUCAACUCUCCAUUUGCUGCUCGUAGUCUUCUUCUCGAGUUGGAAGAAGAUGUAAAACUUCUGGAAGAGAUGUACCCACAAGGAGAGAAGGUAAUGCUGAGACUUCUUGGGCUCUGACUGUUCUUGGUUACUUGGCAAAACUUGUCUUGGGGAUUU
Molecule: long non-coding RNA, 282 nt
Organism: Humulus lupulus (European hop)
Lineage: Eukaryota; Viridiplantae; Streptophyta; Magnoliopsida; Rosales; Cannabaceae
Exons: 3
Source: RefSeq, a predicted model, not a curated record